UUCCUACGUGUACUGGGUGACGUGCAAAUGACAUGGUUAUUCUAAUCUCAAUAUAUGUAUUUUUGCCUUAGAGCAGUGGUUCUCAAAGUGUACUUCUCCAAGAAGUGCAGCAGCAGCCCUGGUCACUUGUCAGAAAUUCUGGAUCCCCACCCCAGACCUACUGAAUCAGAAAUUCUGGCUUCCCACUCCAGACCUACUGAAUCAAAACCUCCUGGUUUGGGAGGCAUUCUGACCCACGCUAAAGUUUACAAACCACUACCUUAGAGUCACUGUUCACAUUGGAAAGCACCUAAACCCCACUGUAUUCUUGGCCACUGAGCCACCCCUUGGUUCCUAAUUGGUCACCUAAUUCUCUCUCCAGAAUGAGAGGUUCACCUGUUCACCUGCUCAUUUUAAAGAGUUCUGAUGUCUAGCUGAGUCCUUGUGAACUCUUGUCCAAGAGCCUAGGCCAUUCCUUUAGACUCCCAAUAUCUUCUGUCUCCCUUCCUCACCUUCUUCUCCUCCUAAUCCUCCCCUGUCCCAUUGAACCAAGAUACUGCCUUUGCCUAGGAUAUCUUCAUUGUAUUACCCACAUCAAAUCCUUAGCUUUCAGUGCUACUUUGUGCUAAGUCCGUCACACCUGACACUUACUCAUCCCAAGUCCUUGAACUUUGAAAUUUAGACUUCUGUCUAACUGCCCUGAGGGUCAGCUCUAUAACUAAUUCCAUUCCCACUAAUUCUGCUCCAGCCUAGUCCUGGCUUCUUCCUGCUCCUCUCCCCACAGUCCUGUGAUUGAAUCUCAGCAUGUCUUGCAGUCUUAAUGGCAGAAAUAGGCUCUUUCAGGCACCACUCUGAGAGGAGUCCUUAACAGAUCCACCCACUUUGGAGACCAGUCCUGGCAGCUGCUACAACCUGACUCAGAAACUUCUUGAUAAUACUUGAAACCAGCAUGGGACCUGGAACAUGUGCCCCACAGAUCUGAGGACUGAUGGAGCUAACUGAUGACUGGUGUCUGGGAAGGCAGCAUGUUUGCCACCCUGUUCUCACUUCUGAAGGAGCUGAAAGAUUUAGUUUCCAAAGCCUCUGGCCAGAUCACACUCCCCCUCCCCGCAAGUGAAUGCCUGGGAAUCAUCUCUUUCUCACAGACAGGAAGCCCUUAUCUCACCAUGAAGACUUGGCAGCAAAGACUGGUAAAGAGGAAAGAACAAACUGGGAGUCAGUUUUCCUUUUGAUAAAUGUAUUCGCUGUAGAAAAUCGGAGUCCACUUCAAUAAAUG
RNAcentral lists this long non-coding RNA (1255 nucleotides) under Homo sapiens (human). RNAcentral describes it as "HSALNT0280984". Lineage: Eukaryota; Metazoa; Chordata; Mammalia; Primates; Hominidae. The record is from RNAcentral.